AGAAAAGCGUUGAACUAAUAAAGUAGCCGACUGCAGCGGGACAAUCAGAGACUUAGUGGAUGGUGCGAACUAAGCCCAAGCAAGCUGGCGAAUUACAGUUAGGGAGCUGACAUGUCAAUGUCCGGCACAUGCCGUUAAGGAUUGAGUGAGCAGAUGAAUUCGUCUGUUAAUCAGGGUGGUACCGCGGAACUUCCGUCCCUUUU
Molecule: non-coding RNA, 203 nt
Filed under: Paenibacillus sp.
Lineage: Bacteria; Bacillati; Bacillota; Bacilli; Caryophanales; Paenibacillaceae
Description: T-box sequence
Rfam family: T-box leader
About the family: Uncharged tRNA acts as the effector for transcription antitermination of genes in the T-box leader family.
Source: RNAcentral